CUCUUGCGCUUUCAAACUGGAAUCUUUUGGUGUCUGGACAUGCGCGUUUUAAACAAUGGAAAGUUCGUCCUGCCAACGUUUCCUGCAAGGAGACAGAAGUACAUUGGUUCGUGUUCUUGUCCCUGCGUUGCCUAUGGAAGGGGAUGUGUUUGCAAGGAUGUGCUUUGUAGGAACCCUGCCCUGAACUUCAGGGCUGUCUUCGGCAGAGCAGCUCCAUUGAUGCUAAUUGGAUUAUGAACGUGACCAUAAAAUGAGCUCACAAAUCCCAUCCCAAAAAGUAGUAAGCCAGAAGCUCCUGGGCAGUUCUCAAAAGUGGAACAUGAAGGAAGAAGAAUGAACAUGUUGGUCUCCAGCAUCUGACUCCAGAGAAAGAAAACACAGGACGUCUUGUUUAUUAUGAAGAGAUACAAUGGCAACAAUUGUUCAUGGGUACAGAUCCUUCAGAUACUGUUUUGAAAACUAACAUUUUGUGUUUUGCUUUUCCUGCUUUUUUUAACUGUUAAAAAACAGGGUAUGUCGAAAUUACAUACACCCCGCCAGUCUUGAUUUUGCUCCUACUAUUUUCAGCGGGGUGAUAAAACUAGUUUGUGGGGUGUCCCAAGAAAAACAAAGAGUCUUAUGGCACCUUAAAGGACUAAAGAUUUAUUAUGGAGUAAGUUUUGUGGGCUUGUGUCCAUUGCUGUUUCAAAAAACUUUUUUUUAAUAUGUAGCUUGGCAUUGGUAAAAUCAAUGGCAACCUUACAGUUUAUUUUGCCUGGCAGGAAAGAAGCUAAGAGCUCAUGUAUCUAAUCUGGAGUAACCGGGUUUGAUGCCCAGCUCUGCCGCCUGAGCUGCGGAGGCUUAUCUGGGGAAUUCAGAUUAGCCUGUACACUCCCACACAC
This is a long non-coding RNA of Sphaerodactylus townsendi, 881 nucleotides long. RefSeq lists it as uncharacterized. The transcript is spliced from 3 exons. Lineage: Eukaryota; Metazoa; Chordata; Lepidosauria; Squamata; Sphaerodactylidae. The record is from RefSeq and is a predicted model, not a curated record.